RNAcentral lists this unclassified non-coding RNA (1449 nucleotides) under Hevea brasiliensis (rubber tree). Lineage: Eukaryota; Viridiplantae; Streptophyta; Magnoliopsida; Malpighiales; Euphorbiaceae. The record is from RNAcentral.
AAAAAUUUCACAUUUUGGGUAGAGCUAGAGUGAAGUUCAAAUUUUCAAGUCACAUUUGCACAUGACAUUCAGCCCUUACUUGUUUCCCGAAGAUUACAACUACGCCUCGAUCCCAAGCUAGUUGAUGCCAGCUAUAUGGAUCAUCCCUCUCCAAAGCCUAAAAAAUACAAUGUUUAAGACAGCACUCAUAAGACAACUGACCUAAAAUGAUGUCCUCUCAAACAAACAACAAUUAAUGUAUACCAGCGAAACCUAGCCCAAUCUUAAUCAACGCGAAAAUACGUUCUGAUGUUUGCUUGAACAUAAGCGAAAUCAUGGGAUGUUACAUCCCUCACCUUAUAAUUAGUUACCUCCCUCACCUGUCCCUUCAUCACCUGGUGUUUCAGCAGUCUUCUCAUCUGUUUCGAUUUGUUCCUUUUCUUUAGGCUCAGUUGUCUCUGGCUUUGCCGGUCCUGGGCCAGCAGAUACCUUGACCAUGGAAGGACGUAAGAGUCUGUCUCCAAGUCUGAAACCUUUGCGAUAUUCUUCAAUUACAACACCUUCUUUAAAUUCUGAGGAAUCCUCGCGCAUUAUAGCUUCAUGCAGCAAUGGGUCGAAUGGCUUCCCAACUGUCUCCACAGGCUCAACACCAAGAGAUCCAAGGAUCUCCAUAAAUUGUUUAGAAAUGCUCUGAUAACUAUUAUUAAUUUUUUCCUCUCCCUCUGUUGCCACCUUGAUUUGCGUUUUCGCUCUCUCAAAAUUGUCCAUAACUGACAAAAGUUUCUCAACAACUUCCCCUUGCGCAUUAGUCACAAGCGAAGCUCUUUCUCUAUCUGUUCUCUUACGGAAGUUGUCGAAGUCGGCACUGAUUCUAAGAACCCGGUCCCUCUCACUUGACAACUCUUUAGUCAAUGAGGCUACUUUUGUCUGAAGUUCGAUUUUCUCAUCUUCUAUGGACUUGAGGGAAAUUUCUAUCUCUGCAACUUUUGAAUCGUCAUUAGUUGCUAAAGCAUCUCUGUAGAGCUGCAAUGAAGCUGCAACGACCGAUAAAGUUUCCUCUGCAGCUGCAUUGUCAUCCUCAUCCGAAGCUUCCUCGGAAGCAGCACCAUCUAAACUCCCCUCCUGCUCGGACUCUUCUACCUGCUCCGUCUCCGUCUCCGUUUCAGCAGCCUCAGCAACAUCCUCAUUUGAUGCAAAGAUAACAAAUUUCUCAACGGACCGAUGCUGCAAUGGCACAAUUGAGUUAGCGGAGUGGUGAAUACGACACCGUCUGGGGAGUAAUGGAGUCUGUCUCCGUCCACAGCGCGAGUAAGAUAAGAAAGUGAUACAAUUAGGUUUGACGGAUGAGUAAGCGGUGGCGCUGACGGUGGUUGACGGCGACCUUAAGGUGGUGGCCGGCGUUGUCAGGUUGGUGGUAGCCAUUGUAUGGUACAGUGGAAAUGGAGGGAGAAGAUAAAGCAGAUAGGCCGG